AGAGUUUGAUCCUGGCUCAGGAUGAACGCUGGCGGCGUGCUUAACACAUGCAAGUCGAACGAACCUUCGGGUUAGUGGCGGACGGGUGAGUAACGCGUGAGAAUCUGCCCUCAGGAGGGGGAUAACGGUUGGAAACGACCGCUAAUACCCCAUAUGCCUACUGGUGAAAUGAAUUUCGCCUGAGGAUGAGCUCGCGUCUGAUUAGCUAGUUGGUGAGGUAAUGGCUCACCAAGGCUUCGAUCAGUAGCUGGUCUGAGAGGAUGAUCAGCCACACUGGGACUGAGACACGGCCCAGACUCUUACGGGAGGCAGCAGUGGGGAAUUUUCCGCAAUGGGCGAAAGCCUGAUCGGAGCAACGCCGCGUGAGGGAUCGAAGGCCUCUGGGCUGUAAACCUCUUU
RNAcentral lists this ribosomal RNA (399 nucleotides) under uncultured Prochlorococcus sp. Its description in RNAcentral is "bacterial SSU rRNA". It matches the Rfam family "Bacterial small subunit ribosomal RNA", at positions 8 to 436 of the family's 1533-position model. The record is from RNAcentral. Lineage: Bacteria; Bacillati; Cyanobacteriota; Cyanophyceae; Synechococcales; Prochlorococcaceae.